AAUAUUGCACAAUGGGCGAAAGCCUGAUGCAGCAACGCCGCGCGAGGGAUGAAGGCCUUCGGGUCGUAAAGCUCCUUGACCACGGGUGAUAAUGACAGUAUCUGAUAAACAAGCCACCGCUAACUACGUGCCACCAGCCGCGGUAAUACGUAGGUGGCGAGCGUUGUCCGGAAUUACUGGGCGUAAAGGAUGCGUAGGUGGAUACUUAAGUGAGAUGUGAAAUCCACGGGCUCAACCCGGGAACUGCAUUCCAAACGGGGUACCUAGAGUGCAGGAGAGGAAAGCGGAAUUCCUAGUGUAGCGGUGAAAUGCGUAGAUAUUAGGAGGAACACCAGUGGCGAAGGCGGCUUUCUGGACUGUAACUGACACUGAGGCAUGAAAGCGUGGGUAGCAAACAGG
This 399-nucleotide ribosomal RNA is filed under the name uncultured bacterium. RNAcentral describes it as "partial 16S ribosomal RNA". It matches the Rfam family "Bacterial small subunit ribosomal RNA", at positions 360 to 776 of the family's 1533-position model. The record is from RNAcentral.